ACUACGGGGGGCAGCAGUGAGGAAUAUUGGUCAAUGGGCGGAAGCCUGAACCAGCCAAGUAGCGUGCAGGAUGACGGCCCUACGGGUUGUAAACUGCUUUUAUACGGGAAUAACGCGCCUUACGUGUAGGGCUUUGCAUGUACCGUAUGAAUAAGGACCGGCUAAUUCCGUGCCAGCAGCCGCGGUAAGACGGAAGGUCCGGGCGUUAUCCGGAUUUAUUGGGUUUAAGGGGAGCGUAGGCCGCAUGUCAAGCGUGCUGUGAAAUGUCCGGGCUCAACCCGGGCCUUGCAGCGCGAACUGGCGUGCUUGAGUCCGCGGAAAGCAGGCGGAAUUCGUCGUGUAGCGGUGAAAUGCUUAGAUAUGACGAAGAACCCCGAUUGCGAAGGCAGCUUGCUGCAGCGGAACUGACGCUGAUGCUCGAAAGCGCGGGUAUCGAACAGGAUUAGAUACCCUGGUAGUC
Molecule: ribosomal RNA, 460 nt
Filed under: uncultured bacterium
Lineage: Bacteria
Description: partial 16S ribosomal RNA
Rfam family: Bacterial small subunit ribosomal RNA
Source: RNAcentral